This 492-nucleotide ribosomal RNA is filed under the name uncultured bacterium. RNAcentral's name for it is "partial 16S ribosomal RNA". It matches the Rfam family "Bacterial small subunit ribosomal RNA", at positions 29 to 507 of the family's 1533-position model. The record is from RNAcentral.
AGUGAACGCUGGCGGUAGGCCUAACACAUGCAAGUCGAACGGCAGCACAGUAAGAGCUUGCUCUUACGGGUGGCGAGUGGCGGACGGGUGAGGAAUACAUCGGAAUCUACUUUUUCGUGGGGGAUAACGUAGGGAAACUUACGCUAAUACCGCAUACGACCUACGGGUGAAAGCAGGGGAUCUUCGGACCUUGCGCGAUUGAAUGAGCCGAUGUCGGAUUAGCUAGUUGGCGGGGUAAAGGCCCACCAAGGCGACGAUCCGUAGCUGGUCUGAGAGGAUGAUCAGCCACACUGGAACUGAGACACGGUCCAGACCCCUACGGGAGGCAGCAGUGGGGAAUAUUGGACAAUGGGCGAAAGCCUGAUCCAGAAAUACAGCGUGGGUGAAGAAGGCAUUCGAGUUGUAAAGCCCUUUUGUUGGGAAAGAAAAGAAGCAGGUUAAUACCCCGAUGUUCUGACGGUACCCAAAGAAUAAGCACCGGCUAACUUCGUG